Ictalurus punctatus (channel catfish) is the source of this 1639-nucleotide long non-coding RNA. The record is from Ensembl. Lineage: Eukaryota; Metazoa; Chordata; Actinopteri; Siluriformes; Ictaluridae.
AAAUAUAUGAAUUUAUUUAAACAAAUAAUAAUACAUCCCAUUACCAAUGGAUUUCUGAACGCUAUCCAGCCUGUCAAAAGCGAAACAAUAACUUGUGUUUCAUGUGUUUUAUUAGAAUUUAAUCACCUGCAGUGUCACAAACAAAAUCAAGAAGGCACUUCAAUGAUAUUGGGCUACACAGAAGUAACAUCAUUUGUAUUCUUUCAAUGCUAAAAUACAUGUAAAUAAAAAAAAAUCAUCAGUGGAUUCAUCUUUUGAUUGUUUACAUGUUUAACAUAAAGCAGAGUGAUUGUCUGUCGACAGAAUAUUUUCCCCUCUCUCUCUCUCGCUCAGUCUGUCUGACAUUUGGCCCCAGCUGAAUCCCGCUGUGCAGACUCAUGGUAAAAGGAGCCAUCAUCUAUCUUGUCGAAUUCUGUUGUCCUAAUUGGAAAAUUCCUUGAGGAAUGUAAAUUAUGCCCACAGUCACUCUCAUGGUGCUCAAUAUCGUACCAGUCUAAGGCACAUAACAUGCAGUCCUUUCCUUAUAUUUACUCCCAUUAUCCAAAGCCAAAUGUAAUACUGUGUGACAUUAACUGUCUUAGUGCAAGAGAAAAUACUAUAACUUUCUGUAAUAGUACAUCAACUGUUCAACACAUACAGUAUAAAACAAACAUACAGUGAAUUAAUUUACAAAUCCAAGAUAUUCUGAUAAUACAAAUAGUAAUUGGAUACAUUUAAUAAACAAUUGCUUUGAUACACUCAGUCAACAUGUUCACCAAACAUUAUUUACAAAACUAUUAAUAUCUUGCUAAGAUAUUGCCAUAAACUGAACAGCUGACAAGCGCAAUGUAAUUAUAAUGUGGCUUUGUGGAGGUGGUAUAAUAGUGACAAUUAUGAUGUUAUACACAUAUGAUUUUAUACACAUUAUUUUAUAUAUUCAUAUAAUUUGAUCCAAAACCUUAAUAACCAAAACCAAAAAUUACCCACCUAACUGUAGUAAUUUAAAAGAAUCCCUUAUAGAGUGAAUACUGUUAUAUCAGAAACCUGUUUUAAUGGCAAAAUAUCAAUGUAUAAUAAAUUUGUUCCCAAACUGUUGGUACCCAUAAAGGAAGUAGGCUUUUCACACUUCCUAAAUCCAAGUUGAACUGCUAAGGAUCACGAUUCCUUUCCAAAUGUAUGCAAGAGAACAGAAGAGUGUUCAAGAGUUAACAAAAGCAUUCGAUUGACUUCCAUUUAUUUUUGGUCAUCCAGCUCUCAGCUGUUCAAUUUCUUCAGUGAAAGACAGCAUAGUCUAAGCCCUCAAAUUCACUUCUGCAGCAUCUCAAAUGGCACAAAUAAUUAGUCUCUCCAAAAAAUAUUUGGUGAUGACCAUGAUUUCUGGUUCCUUUGGGGUCCCUUGGGUUUCUGUUUGAUGUUGAAUUUUGAGAUGCUAUGAUCCAGACUCAGGAGGUUGACACCACCUGCAAGCCUGCCAUGAAGGAAACAGCCCCAUGUGCAGAACUGAAUUAGGGACUCUGGCCCACAGCUGCACCUGGCUUCUGACCUAUAAAGAAAACAACUCUCACAAUUAGAACACUGCUUUUGACCUCAGGAACUCUUUUUUCACUGAGCCCUAUAGGUUUAUCAAACAUAAAAAACACUAUUAACCUUUUUAAUUCCA